This 148-nucleotide ribosomal RNA is filed under the name Botryosphaeria dothidea. Its description in RNAcentral is "5.8S ribosomal RNA". It matches the Rfam family "5.8S ribosomal RNA". From Rfam's summary of the family: 5.8S ribosomal RNA (5.8S rRNA) is a component of the large subunit of the eukaryotic ribosome. Lineage: Eukaryota; Fungi; Ascomycota; Dothideomycetes; Botryosphaeriales; Botryosphaeriaceae. The record is from RNAcentral.
AACGGAUCUCUUGGUUCUGGCAUCGAUGAAGAACGCAGCGAAAUGCGAUAAGUAAUGUGAAUUGCAGAAUUCAGUGAAUCAUCGAAUCUUUGAACGCACAUUGCGCCCUUUGGUAUUCCGAAGGGCAUGCCUGUUCGAGCGUCAUUAC